This 495-nucleotide ribosomal RNA is filed under the name uncultured bacterium. RNAcentral describes it as "partial 16S ribosomal RNA". It matches the Rfam family "Bacterial small subunit ribosomal RNA", at positions 28 to 507 of the family's 1533-position model. The record is from RNAcentral.
GACGAACGCUGGCGGCGUGCCUAAUACAUGCAAGUCGAACGCUGAAGGAGGAGCUUGCUUCUCUGGAUGAGUUGCGAACGGGUGAGUAACGCGUAGGUAACCUGCCUGGUAGCGGGGGAUAACUAUUGGAAACGAUAGCUAAUACCGCAUAAUAGUAGAUGUUGCAUGACAUUUGCUUAAAAGUUGCAAUUGCAUCACUACCAGAUGGACCUGCGUUGUAUUAGCUAGUUGGUGGGGUAACGGCUCACCAAGGCGACGAUACAUAGCCGACCUGAGAGGGUGAUCGGCCACACUGGGACUGAGACACGGCCCAGACGCCUACGGGAGGCAGCAGGAGGGAAUCUUGGGCAAGGGACGGAAGUCUGACCGAGCAACGCCGCGUGAGUGAAGAAGGUUGUCGGAUCGUAAAGCUCGGUUGUAAGAGAAGAAAGAGUGUGAGAGUGGAAAGUUCACACUGUGACGGUAUCUUACCAGAAAGGGACGGCUAACUACGUG